CGGGGCAUGGCGCAUCUUGGUAGCGCGCUUCGUUCGGGUCGAAGAGGUCGUGGGUUCAAAUCCCGCUGCCCCAC
Molecule: transfer RNA, 74 nt
Filed under: Anaerolineales bacterium
Lineage: Bacteria; Bacillati; Chloroflexota; Anaerolineae; Anaerolineales
Description: tRNA-Pro
Rfam family: tRNA
About the family: Transfer RNA (tRNA) molecules are approximately 80 nucleotides in length.
Source: RNAcentral